AAGCCAUUGAUCAUCUUUCCGUUUACCCCACCAAGUGAAAACUUUGUAUUACUCUUUGGGUAUCCAAUCACUUCAGAGGUCUUCCGGUUGGUUUUGAAUUCAAGUGCUUGCAUCACACCGGAUUUGUCAAAGUAACCGUCAACAGAUACAAUAUGUUCACCGUUUUGAUAGUCAAUCUCGAACUGCCAACAAAAAUGGUUGAUACGUUAAUAGGAUUUUCGUAGACAACAAGCUAAAUAUGUGACAUGUGGAUCCAAAACAUCAACAGAAUUCACCUUUGAAUUUCACUCGCCACUACAAUUAAAACGAUGUAUUAAAGAUUCUAUAUAUAAUAAUAUUUAUUUUUAAAGCAUACCAUUUGUGUGAAACCACUACCCGAAACACCAUGGAUUGAUCCCUCUACAGACUGUCCAUCUUUGACAUAAUCAAAUUUGAUGUAUUGUAUGCCUUCAAGACCACCUCGUAUAUAAACUUUUGCUACAUUAUCAUGGCCGGCUCCAUCAUCCCAUUCCUUGCCCCCUUUCCCACCCUUAGCCUCCAACUUUUGGGCCAUUGCAAACCCAUUUGAAUCUUUAUACAUAAAAAUUGAAUACUAUUAUUGUGUUAUAUAAUCUUCUUGUCAUUAUUAAUUUUACUGAGAACAUUAACUUUCUAGCCAAGCAUCAAUGUGUUAAAGAAAAUGGAAGAAAGAAAGUUGUAAUUAUCCAACUAACGUUUGGAGCCACAUAUACACAAUUAUGUACAUAAUUUAGAUUAAAAUAUAGGGGAAAAGUGUACUUUAUGUUCUCUCUAGCAAAUAUCUGAAACAUGAAUGGUGUGAAUGAAAACGGUGCAUAAGGAAGCUUAGUUACCUAUAAUGGCUGAGGAGAGAAAGAGAAAUAUAUAGAUGAAAAUCAUGAUCGAUGUGCUAUGGUGAUUGAUGAAGAAGCUGAAAUCGAAAUGCUUAUUUAUACACCAAGUUUUAGCUCUUUCACAAAUGCAUAUUACUAGUAUAUUUAACUAGUGGCCUCUAAGGCAAUAGAUUAAUGUUUCUCAGUUCUCAAGUUUCAUCAUUUUAAGUAGUUUGUUAUAUAUACUAAUACUAUUUCUUAAAGAAAGUUCACUGAACCAAUAGACUCGUAAACGUAAUCUUAAUGAAAGAACAAUAUGGAUGCUAAUGUUUGGAUAUCAAAGUAAGUUAACCUAAAGGCGUACAUGCAGUUGCGGAUUUAGAAAUAAAAUUUACAUGCAGGGGAUAAAAUACUAUACUAAUUUUAAAGAUACAAACAAUUAUGUUAUUAUUAUUUAAAUUCUAAAUAGGAAAAAAUAAUAAUAUUUAUCCACAUUUCAUAUAAUAGCUAACGUGGGAUUUGAUCAUGAAUUUAGGAGGGGCAAGUUGCUUCAAUUUACCAUUUGACCUAUAUAUUUUUUUUUUCUUACCAAAAUGAAUAUACUUUCUUUUCUAAAUGUAAAUCUAUUGCUCAUCAAAAAGGUUUAUUUACAAUCUAACGAAAGAAAAUAGAAUUGAAUGAUCGAAAAUAAGAAAAAAAGUGAGCAUCAAGGAGAUGAAGUUUUAGCUAAUCCCCUUGUACUGAACAAACCCGUAAGGAGUCCCUCGAGUUUUGUUUGAUUCGUGGUAUUGAAGGGAGCUGAUAAGACUACAAUUACAUUUUUGUCAAUCUUGUAGAUGGGCUGGGAUAUGGAGGAUGGCCAUCCUUCUAGUGUCUUCAAUCAUUAUAUUCUCUCCAUACAUGGUGUGCAUUGGCAAACGAUGGUCGGAAACUAGGAUUAUUCCAGAAAUUUGUCGAUGCAGAUGUCAAAAAAAUAUUGUUAAAAUAAUAUUGGAGAAAGUUUCAACCACAUUUUUCCAUCGAGAGAUUUUGUCAAAACGUUGUUCGAAAAUUCCGAUGAGUUUCCAACUAAACGUGGUAUCUGUAUCGAGAUAGGUUUGUCGGAUAGGCAUGCAUCAGAAUUUUCUGUUUAUUUUUGAUGAAACUUGAAAAUUUUAGUCGGAAAUUCGUCGGAAAGUUCCAACAACUUUCUAAGACUGUAAAUAUACAGUCAAAAAUUAUCGAUGAUAUUUAAAAAAAAUAAAAAUUUAGAGUAACCCAAGAGCCAAAAUACUGCCAAAUAACUCCUACCAGAUCAGUAUGCAUAAUGAUGAUAUAUCGUUACCUUAGUGGCCAUUCCAGCUUCCAAGCAGUGGCGUAGCUAGCUAAUGAGGAGGGGGUCAACGACCCCAUAACCUUUACAAAAUUUAUUUUCUAAGCUUACUUAAAAAUAAAUAAUUUAAUACUAUUAUUCAGUUAUAUAAUAUAUGACCUCCAUAACAUAUUAUUCGAGCUCGACCACUGAUUCCAAGCAUGAUUAAGGUUGUAUUUAACAAAUAAAAAUAUUAACAAGACAUUUUAACACAUAUCACGAAUAUACAUUUAUAAUUAAUUUCCCCUCUCUAGCUUCUUUGUAUCAAUUCUUUCAUACACCACCUCCAUGGAUAGUAAACUUCUUGUAUUAUCCGUUUACAGUUUAAUGAAAGUUCGCAGAUGUUACAAAACUUACAAAAUCCGUAAUCAUGAAUCGAUUUAGACAUACGUUUCCGGUGAUAGUUGUUUAAUGUUAGAAAAACGGUUUUAUAUAUGAGGGAAUAUGGUUUGACCAAAUUAUUAAAUCUGUAUGGUUUAAGACGAAAUCUCAAAUAGUCAAAUCUGAUUUUGCAUUUUCUGAUCGGUCUCAUGGAACGUGGAAACCCUAAAAGAGUGAUCUUAUUACUUAAGGAUUUGACCAACAAAAAUGAAACCUUGAGAUCUACGACAAUUUAAUGAUCUUCAUGAUUCCACUUUACGGUGAGGCCAAACAAAAAGGAAUCAAGUUUUGACUUUUGAGGAAAUUUUUAUGAAUUUAGUCAACCAUUAUAAGACUGCUUAAUAAGUUUGAUGGAACUCCAAACUCAUGUUUUACCAAACGGUUUCAUAUGGAAUGUUCCUCGGUUAAUAGUUUAUAUAGUUUAAGGCCCCACAAUGGGUAAAUGUCAAAUAAUUCGUCCAAAUUAAAUUAGAUAGUGAAUCAGUAACUUAACCUAACCAAUAGAAAAUAUUAGUUAUUCAAAAAGAAACAAAAUUAACCUAGCCUGUGACAGGAACAGUGGAUUUAGAAAGCUUAAUAUCAAGUACUCCAGUACUCUUAGAGGUCAAGGAUAGUUCGAUUAGUUGAAUUAUACUAGGGUAAAAAGUUGUUAGUUAUCAACGAGUUGUUGGUCUAGUGGUAAAUCUCCCAAAUAAAUAUGAUUGGUUCAACGUAAGUUGGAAAUGAUUUCUUCUCCAAAAAAGUUAAAUUUAAUUGAAUAUGGGUCUUCCCUGAAAAAUACAUAGGGCCUUUAGGCUUAAAUUUCCAGAUAUUUAGAAGAAAAAAAAAUGUUAGUUUAGGUUCAACUUUACCAACAUGGUUAAUACUUAAUAGGAAAUUUAGAUAAGCAACAGUAUGGUGUCGGAAAUAUAAGAAAGUAAUGCAUGGACCGGAUAUCAGACUGCUUCAAGAUUAAGUGUUUUAAUUUUGACUUUGAGGAAUUGAUAAAUUAAUUGUGAUGCAUAAUGGUAGCGUUUUACAAUUUCUUUUUUGCACAUACAGUUUUUUGUAAUAGAUCCAAACCAAUAGCUCUUUUAUUAUAGAAACAUUAAAAAGAUUUGAAUAAUCAAACGUUGCUUUAUUACAUGAGAUUUCAGAAAGGAAAGAAAACAUCGCAAGUUAAAAACAUCUGAGGCACAUCCACAGACAACAAGUAAAGGAAAGUAAUUAAAAAUAACAGAUACGAGAUUGUUAUUACAGCACCAUGGAACCCUAUUAUUUUAUUAUCUUCAUAAUUAUGAAUUAAGAAGUAACCAUGGGGAAGAAUGGUUGAAACUUCUGUAAUCUUGAAACAUGUACAUAUGCUAUAUUUGUGUCUAGAGAUGCAUUUUUGUUGAACAUAUGUAUUUUUUAAGAUUAAUAAUCACCUGAAGCAUGUGUCAGUGAUAAAUGGGGUUUAGAAUGUAAUUAACGUGGAGAUGCCUAUACGAGAUAUGCCUUCACCCCAAAAUAUAUAUCUGAAUCGAUUUAUCUUUACGAAAGAGAUAUAUAAUACCUACUUGUAUUUAGUUAAUUCACUCUCAGAUCUGGUGGAUGAAUAUAAUGAACCAUGAAUUUUGACUUUUGACAAUAUAUUCUCGCUUUUUCCGGCCGCUUUCUUCAUGUGUUGAAUAUUUGAUUGUAAGAUUUGAAGUUUCUUAGCUCAAGAUUGAUAUUUACUUCUUGUUUGUUUAUUAAAGAAUCUUUUGUUUUGGGUUUGAAGUUUACAGCAUGUAAAUAGCAUGUUAUACAUUUAUUUAAAAAGGUUAUGCUAAUUUAAUAAUCAUCACAUUCAGUAAACUCAGAAGAAGAAAAAACGGGAACCGAGUUAGGCUAUUUUUUGUUGAAUCGUAUGAAACAAAGAAUGCUGCCAGUAAUUUUUAACUUUUCCAGUUGCUAUCCAUAUCUAUUGUUCUUUUAACUAUAAUAUAUAUAUAUAUAUAUAUAUAUAUAUAUAUAUAUUCUCACCUUAUCAAAACUAAGAAUUAGAUUAAUUUUAAUAACAAAUGAAAUUUCAAUAUAAAUGUAUAUAUGUUUAAAGUUCUUAAGUGUAGGUGAUGAAAACAUUAUAUUUGAGUUUCUCUCUAGAAAAAAAAAACUAUACACUAAUUUAAUUAGUUUCCUCGGAUCUCAUAUGAGGAAUUCAAAGUCGCCUAGGUUUUUCGGUCCAUCUCAAACUAAAUCUAAUUGUAUGACUGGCAAUAGCCUACUGGUUAUCGUAUAUUUCUCUUCUUUGGAGUUAUUAUUAGUACAUGGAUUGAUACAUGCCUUUGAAUAUUCUUUUAGUUAUCAUUUUUCUUUAGACGUGUGGUUCUUUAUGACUUAAUAUAAGUUUUACACUCAUUGCGAGUCAGCUUGAUAAACAAACAUAUGCAGAAUCACUGACAACAACUCAAGGUCUUAACUCUUUGUUAAAAAAUCUAACAACAACAUAAGUUUAAAAAGGAACAACGUCACCAACACUAAGCAUCAUGCAUUAAGUAGAAAGUUUAAUACUCCAUACAAAGAAAAAUAUCACGUCAAAAACGUUGCGAAAAGUGCCACGGUUUCAUUGGAGCUUUAAAAGUUUUGUUUGCAUUUAAUUCAGAAUUAUAAUAAUAUUUUUAUUUUUAAAUACUGAAAUACAGGUUUCAUAAUUAAACCUUGUUUUAUUACAAGAGAUUGUAAACUCGAAAGAAAUUACUGAUUAAAGAAACAUCGGAGUAGGUAGUAAAUCAUUGUAGAUAUGAGAGCCUUAAAACAAGAUGAAGUUCGUGACUAUAUUUCCAUCUAACCAUAUGGUUUUAUAGCCUUUAUAGUCUCGAAUUACGAAGGAAUUGGAGAGAAGUAAACUCCGAUAGCGUCGAAAGCACCACCAUCCCGCCCAUAGAAUCCAACAAUAGCAUUACCUUGGCUCUCCAACACAAAUUUGGUACCUGACACAAACCCAUAUGUGGGAGAGAUUCUCCCUUUUGAUGUUUUGAAAAUCAACGACCUAAUGACCAAAACGUUAUCAUCGGGGAGUAUGUUGUAGGUUCCCUCCACUGAUAUCAAAUACUCAUUUGGAUAGUCUAUCACAAACUGUAAUAAAGGGGAAAAAAACGUUAGUAAACCUACAAUGAAAUUAUAAGAAUACUUAAAAUCUGAUAUAGUAUUUAAGUGAUACAUUGACUGUUUGACUUAUUGUCAAUAAAUUUGUAAUAAAAAACGCGUAAAUUAAUCAAAGCCUAGUGAGUGUAAUUGGUUUUUAUAUAUAAACAAGUUAAAUAUAUCGAUGGACUAAUUAAGAUUUAAGAAUGUUAUGUUUAAGAGAUAAGAAUUCAGUACCUCCUCUGUAUCUCCAUUCUUCAUCCCGUGGUAACGUGUUACAACUUGGCCGUCCUUUUCAUAGUCCACAUUGAUACUCCUUAUAAGAGUGCUAAUGUAAGUGACAGAUAUCUUUUUCACGCCAUCAUAAUUAGAGCCAUCAUCCCAAGGUUCGCCUCCGGUUAGACCACCUACAAGUUGUGACUUAGUAGGAGGAGCUGUUGUUAAAUAUGCUCCAAUGGAGUUUAGGACUUUCCCAGCAGAUCCAUGGAAGCCAAUCACCAUCUUGCCAUUGACUCCACCGAGUGAAAACUUUGUAGUACCCUUUGGAUAUCCAAUCACUUCAGAAGUCUUCAGGUUGGUUUUGAAUUCAAGUGCUUGCAUCGUACCAGAUUUGUCGUAGUAGCCAUCAACAGAUACAAUAUAUUCACUGUUUUGAUAAUCAAUCUCAAACUGCAAACAAAAAUGGUGAUUGUAUUAAUAAGGACUUUGUACACAGUAGCCAAUAACCUAAAUAUAUGUGAUAUGGGAAACCACGACAUAAUAAGAUCCAAGUUUGAGUUUCAUUGGUCACUAGACUUAAACAUUUAUACAUUAAAAC
This 6466-nucleotide long non-coding RNA is filed under the name Arabidopsis thaliana (thale cress). RNAcentral describes it as "long non-coding RNA (ATHA_LNC000583)". Lineage: Eukaryota; Viridiplantae; Streptophyta; Magnoliopsida; Brassicales; Brassicaceae. The record is from RNAcentral.